UUUUCCUGUGAUAGAUGAACUGUAUAUUCGGCGAGGCGGCGCCACCACUUAUUUUAUUUUUUGAAUUUUUUAAUCUUCUUCUACUAUGAGGGUUUCUUUCCCAGUCACUUCUGAUUUAUCGGAGGACCAAUAAUCUGUUCGAUUCGAUGAAUUAACUAGUUGCUGCAUCUCCUAUUCUGCAUCGCUCCGUACUCACGAUAUGCUUUGUUUCUUCUGCUCUGUGAUAUUAUAAACACUCACAUGGGUGAGUCAAAUAAGUUCACCAAACCUUCUUGCCGCGAUUUGUUUUCUUUGUAGAAGGUGGAUGGAAGCAACCUCGAGGCCUCCCUCACAGGAAGAUGCUUUGACUUUGAAUUCCUUACCAGAAGCCACGAUGGCUCUCUCUGAGAUCUUCUCUCAACUUUGCACCAAGGCCGUAGUCCUGUUGGCUCUGCUGCUGAUACAACUCAUGCUCCUCGUAAAGAAGCUCAGGUCAGAUCCGCGUCCGGUCACCACCACCCAAUAUCUCAAACUCAUCGAACAGAAGAACCCCACAAUUUGUUUCACCAAGAGAUUGAGGCAAGAAGGUGCAGAGUGCAGGGUGUGCUUAUCUGAAUUCCAGGAAGGGGAAAAAGUGAGGAACUUGAAAUGUAAACACACAUUUCACAGAGAUUGCUUGGACAAAUGGUUGCAGCAAUAUUGGGCUACCUGCCCUCUUUGCAGGAACCAAGUUCUUCCAGAUGAUGUUGUGGCCAAGUAUCGUGAGCUUCAGAAUCAGGUAGAAUCUGAUGGGAAUGAUGAGCAGAUUAUGUUCUUGUUAUCUGCGUUACGUGGAGGAAGUUCUUUGAACAGAUUUCUUUAAAACUUGUCCUCAAGAUAAGAACCAAAUUAAACUCUAGUUUCUUGUAUUUUGUACAGAGGGACUACGUCUUCUCCUUUUGGGAUCUUGCUGAAUAAUUUGGAUGUACCCUCGGCGGUAUGUGCGUAUAUAUAGAAGGAGACGAGUCAUCGGGGAUAUUUUGAAAAAGGUAGAGGUUUUAAUUAAUUCUGGAGUCCACAUCAGAAGUGAAAAAUCUCAGGCAGAUAUUUUUUGUGAGAAACCCAUCUGCACAACCAUCCUUUUGAUGAUUAAUUUCCUGUGAAAGGACUGUAAUCUGUGUGGAUUUUCAUCAUGAAGGAUGCUCAACUUGAUUCUUGAGCACAGAUGACAGGUCAGCUACAAGUACAUGGCAGUGAAGUAGGUAGUAAUUCUAAGAGGACCCUCCUGAAAAUGUUAGGUAUAGUUAGAAAAAGCUUGAUGCUCAAAGCACUUUGUUCUGCAGAAUGAAAAUUUGCCCACAAACCAGAAUGGCGUGGCCUGAAACAGAUAACGAUUUAGUUCUCGUACAGCUCGAAGGAGAGACAUGUAGGGUAGGGUACUAAAUUUGCGAAGCUAAGAAAGAGGAGGUCAUGCAACUCAGAAAAUCAGGAUUUGUAAUGGUUUCUCUCAUUUUAGACAAAAACCAUCAAGCCAUCAAUAGCAUUCAGGGUUAGAUACUCUUCCCUUUUCUUUGCAAUCUGUUUGUUUUCUGGAAUUUGAAUCUCUCCUGAAGAAUUUACAGGCAAUCAUUACAACUAUAGAACUGAUCUAAAAUUUUCUCUUUUUUUUUUUAAUAUUGCUUCCCUUGUAAAGUUACAUUGUCUCCCAAAAUUCUUAGUAACUAGUAACUCUGUAAUUGUCUUAAUGGCUUCUGUGAAGUGCAUGAAUAAUCAGAGUUCAAUAAGUUAA
RNA transcript from Prosopis cineraria, 1747 nucleotides. It is a transcript of the gene named E3 ubiquitin-protein ligase RHA2B-like, with no coding region annotated. The record is from RefSeq and is a predicted model, not a curated record. NCBI's taxonomy places the organism in Eukaryota, Viridiplantae, Streptophyta, Magnoliopsida, Fabales, Fabaceae. The transcript has 4 exons.